GAUGGGGAGCGAAAUUUAGUAGCGAAGUAGCUGAUUUCACACUGUCAAGAAAAGUCUCUAUCGAGGUUAAAGGUACCCGUACCGCAAACCGACACAGGUGGGGGAGGAGAGUAUCCUAAGGCCAGCGAGAGAACUGUUGUUAAGGAACUCGGCAAAAUGACCCCGUAACUUAGGGAUAAGGGGUGCCACCAUCAGGUGGCCGCAGAGAAUAGGCCCAAGCGACUGUUUACCAAAAACAUAGGUUUCUGCUAAG
This 253-nucleotide ribosomal RNA is filed under the name Clostridioides difficile. Its description in RNAcentral is "partial 23S ribosomal RNA". It matches the Rfam family "Bacterial large subunit ribosomal RNA", at positions 1565 to 1830 of the family's 2925-position model. The record is from RNAcentral. Lineage: Bacteria; Bacillati; Bacillota; Clostridia; Peptostreptococcales; Peptostreptococcaceae.